Lontra canadensis (Northern American river otter) is the source of this 1981-nucleotide long non-coding RNA. RefSeq lists it as uncharacterized. The transcript is spliced from 2 exons. Lineage: Eukaryota; Metazoa; Chordata; Mammalia; Carnivora; Mustelidae. The record is from RefSeq and is a predicted model, not a curated record.
AUGAUGCUUAGACACACCUCAACUUGGCAGAAACUGUGCUUGGAAGGUGCCCAGGCUCAAUCCAUCUCGGUGUUGCAAGUAGUGCCCCAGAGCCUGGCAAGAGACUGUUAAUUGGAAAGAAAACCUGUAGCCAUAAGAUCGAGUGACAGCCCAUCUAGCGUAGCCUACAUGUUGGGAAGAGAGGACCAAGAGGGAUCUUCAGAGUAUGAAUUGAGAUUUUUUUCCUCCCCUGGGCUUGAAAUUCCUUCCAGUGGUAUCUUGCCUGUGGGUUAGGGCAUAGUGUCACUGCCAGAAUCAAACACCUUACCUGGGGCAGGCGGCAGAGAGCUGGAGACACGAAGACACUGGGAGGGGUGGGAAGAGCUACGCAACAUGAUGAGGCAUGAAAGCCCAUGAGUGGCCUUUGGCAUAAAUCUAGGAUGUUAGAGCUGAUAAGAAAUCUCAGAAAUCUCUCCAACUCCCUCAUUGGGAAAAAGAAAACAACUAAGUCUCAGAGACAAGGAAUGACUUGGCUGAGGCAAGGCAAGGAGAAGCACCAGAGCUCGGGACCUGAUACACAUGCCAUUGGGCCCUACCCUAGGGCCCUGGAACCUGGGACUGAAACAUUCUGAUGUGGAGAGUAUUAGAGAAGGUAUCACAAAAGAGGCUGAGUGUUCAGGUCUGGAGCUGAGGGCACAGAAGAAUAGUUCAGGAGCUAUUUUGUUGGAGAGAGAGAGGAGCAGAAAUAGGCCGAGGCAGAGGCAUGAAGGCUAGAAGAAUCUCCCCCACAUCUCUAUUUGGUCAAAGGUUCUUCUCCUGGCUUAUAUUCUAUCACCGCGGGAACUUGAGAAUGCAAGAAAAAGAUGGUGAGAAGUCUAUGACCCAGGCCCUCAUCUGCCACGGACUCUUCAGGGGCUUCCCAGAACCACCACUUCCCCUUCUGGACCCUGGUCUUCUCAUGAAAAAUGAGAGAGAAAUGAAGUAGGUGUACUUGGAGGCCUGUGGCUCUGCCCAGUCUCCAAGCUCAAGGCCAGAUUGUGUUUAGGGCAAUCCAUUCAUCUGAGGAUGAACAACUUUCUGUGGGCCUCUUUAGAAAUAAGUUUGCCAUGAUGAUUUCAAGUUCCACCAUGUUUUUAAUGCAUCUGUUCAGGUGAUAUAUUCGACCUGAUGAAUAGAAAGUACAUGAGCCUAAUGUACGAUAUUAGGAGAUAAUUGCAAUGGAUGGAAGUCUCUUGAGUCAAUUAACUCUUAUUACCUGGAAACCAUUUAGAAGAGGCAAUAAAUUAUUGGGACAACACAAUUAGCAGUCCCACAAUAAAACGGGUUUCAUGUGUGCGCCUGUAGGUGCCCCCCAUCUGCUGAGGGCCCAUCAAGUUUAAGGGUACGUGUUUGAGGGGGUUGCUGUGCCCUUUUGUGUUCACAGGAGUGUGUUAACAUGCAGUAGGGCUGACAUAUCCCAGGCUAGACCGAAGCAAUGAAAUAAGCUUUCCACGCCUAGGAACAAUGAUGCCUGUGUCACAGCCAGUCAAUGGCUGCUUCAGUGCCUUGUAGCUAAUAGACUUUCACCAAACGCUGGCCAAUCUGCUGAGUGAUAUUUGAGGCUGGAUGUUGUGAUUCUGUUUAAAGACCAUUUCUAACACUCCCACCCUUGAAUAUAAAAACUAAAAUCGCUCAGCAUUUAAAAAGACUUUUUAAAAAAAAAAUUUUUUUCCCCCUGUCAAGCUACAGGUUCUGUAAUAGCAUAGACAGAAUUGGGAAAAGAACAGUUUUCUGUAAGGAUUCUAGAAGGAACUACCGCAGUAGCAAAUAAGCUCCAAGAGCCCCAUUGAUCUCUUACAUUCGCUUUCAAUCUAUGGAAGAAGAUUGUCUCGCACCCGAGCUGGCCCAAGCUUAGUUCAGCGUGUCUUAAAGCAGCAGAAUCCUGGAUCCUGGCCACUGAAUCUUCACACCAUUUGCUUAUUAAUACAAGCAAGACUCAAAUUCCUGACAGCAGGGGAAGGAA